This 529-nucleotide ribosomal RNA is filed under the name uncultured bacterium. RNAcentral describes it as "bacterial SSU rRNA". It matches the Rfam family "Bacterial small subunit ribosomal RNA", at positions 777 to 1304 of the family's 1533-position model. The record is from RNAcentral.
AAUAGAUACCCAGGUAGUCCACGCCGUAAACGAUGAGUGCUAAGUGUUAGAGGGUUUCCGCCCUUUAGUGCUGCAGCUAACGCAUUAAGCACUCCGCCUGGGGAGUACGGCCGCAAGGCUGAAACUCAAAGGAAUUGACGGGGGCCCGCACAAGCGGUGGAGCAUGUGGUUUAAUUCGAAGCAACGCGAAGAACCUUACCAGGUCUUGACAUCCUCUGACAACCCUAGAGAUAGGGCUUUCCCCUUCGGGGGACAGAGUGACAGGUGGUGCAUGGUUGUCGUCAGCUCGUGUCGUGAGGUGUUGGGUUAAGUCCCGCAACGAGCGCAACCCUUGAUCUUAGUUGCCAGCAUUCAGUUGGGCACUCUAAGGUGACUGCCGGUGACAAACCGGAGGAAGGUGGGGAUGACGUCAAAUCAUCAUGCCCCUUAUGACCUGGGCUACACACGUGCUACAAUGGAUGGUACAAAGGGCUGCAAACCUGCGAAGGUAAGCGAAUCCCAUAAAGCCAUUCUCAGUUCGGAUUGCAGG